GUUACAUAUAUGUGUUACUUUCUCCUGUCCCUGUUCGGUCCCCAUGUAACUACUCCAAGUAAGUAUAUCUGGGUUAUAUUUAUCAUGCGGAUUGCUCACUUACACGCUAUAACGAUGUUCUGUUAUAUUUGAGAAUCAACUUGGUACACUUUCUUUCGUUAUUUAGAAGAGGACAAUGGUAAUAGGUAAUGAACGUCUGACGUUGUUGUAAAAGUAGAACGAGAAUCAAAUUAAAAAUGAUAUUUAUGAUCGAUCGAUCGAUCAUUCGUCUGAAAUGUAUAACGUGUUACGUUCAAAGAACACAAAAAUUAAAUAUGUAUAAUAUAUUAGAGGAACUCGAAAGUUUUACAUUACAUUAAAACAUGAUUUUGAACUACACGAUGAAUAGAUAAAUUAUAAACAAAUAUUAACAUGCGUAUAAAUGACAUUACAUUCCCUAAUAUAUAAUAAAAGAAUAAUUAGGUUUGUGAAGAAAAGAUCUGAUUAAAGUGCAACGAAUUAGUACAAAAGAUUGAACCUAAGUGUUAUUAAAAAACGAUUUUGAAGUACACGAUGAAUAGAUAAAUGAUAAACAAAUAUUGACAUGCGUAUAAAUGACAUUACAUUCCCUAAUAUAAAUAUAAUAAAAGAAUAAUUAGGUUUGUGAAGAAAAGAUCUUAUUAGAGUGCAACGAAUUGAUACAAAAGAUCGAACCUAAGUGUUAUUCAAGAUGAUUCGAUAAAGAUGUCGUCGUCUUUCAAUAGAAACGAUAGACUUCUAACGCGUAUGAGAUUCAAAAGGAUUCCUCUUGUGGAAAAACGAUGAAA
This 806-nucleotide long non-coding RNA is filed under the name Polistes fuscatus (common paper wasp). Its description in RNAcentral is "uncharacterized LOC122517636". The record is from RNAcentral. Lineage: Eukaryota; Metazoa; Arthropoda; Insecta; Hymenoptera; Vespidae.